RNAcentral lists this ribosomal RNA (973 nucleotides) under Triticum aestivum (bread wheat). RNAcentral describes it as "partial small subunit ribosomal RNA". The record is from RNAcentral. Lineage: Eukaryota; Viridiplantae; Streptophyta; Magnoliopsida; Poales; Poaceae.
CGGGACUUGCACGAGCGCUCCUGCUCGAAGAAGAGGAAGCAGAGGUCAGCGAUGGCUGGGAGCAGAGGUCCGGCGAGCGGGGCGGCGAGGUCUUGGGAGUCCGGAUCUGGCCGGGAACGAGCUUGGACGCUGAGAAGAACCGGAUCCGGCGGCCGACGCCUUUAUCUGAAGAAGAAAGCAGCCAUGGCAUGGGGGCUUCAGGCAGGCGAUGGGAAUGCACGGGCGGUCGACGCGGGCGAGGGAAGCGGAGGGACUCCGGCGCAGCAGGGAGCUCGGCGGACGUUGUCGAGUUGGAGGCAUCGGUGAUCAGCGAGGCGAAGAGGACCACCAUGGUGGCCUUUUGUAACUCGUCCAUGAUGGCGCGACGGCGAGCUCAUGUCCGGGCAAGGGGAAGCAGGGAGACGACGGCUUGGGACAGAGGACCCGGUUGAGGACGACGUAGCAAAACGGGACGACCAUGGGCUCCUCCAGGUGGCGGCUUGCUUGCUCCGGCGAGGCGGAUGCAAGCAAGGAGAGUUGAGGCGGCCGGCGACGUUCUUCGGAUCGGUGGUGCUGGCCUUGCAGAAGAAACAAGGUGACGACGCGAUUAUCAGCAGCAGUAGGAGAAGAACAGCGAGAAACAGGAAGGAGGCGCGGUGAGGAGGACCUGCGGGUCGGAGCGGCUUGAUGGCGGGGGCCAUGGCGUGGUGCUGCUUGGGGCCGGAUGACGCUGCUCUCGAUCCACCCUGGAUCGAGGCACAGGAGGAGGGGAGGAGACGUGGAGCAUCCUGCUCGAGCUCGAGGGUGAGGGCGGCGCUCAGGGUUGGCCGUGAGCAGAGGAGCUCAAACAGAGUGGUGCUGGCUGAAUCGGAAGGAGGGGAUGGAUGGGACAGAGAUGAUUGGCCGAUGCUCUGUUCGGUGGUGGCUGAAUGCGCGGUGGAUCGGGCAGGGAGAUACCGAGGGGGAUUCGGUGUAGUGGCGGCGGCGAUGAGAU